Osmerus eperlanus (European smelt) is the source of this 457-nucleotide long non-coding RNA. RefSeq lists it as uncharacterized. The transcript is spliced from 3 exons. The record is from RefSeq and is a predicted model, not a curated record. Lineage: Eukaryota; Metazoa; Chordata; Actinopteri; Osmeriformes; Osmeridae.
UGUUUUAUUUGCUUGGAUAGCGGCUUCUUGGUUGGGGUUACACUGUCACCUUAAGAGCAGUUCACGGUUAGCUCGCGAGGGUGGUGAAAUCGCAUUUUAUGUCACAAAGUUAGCGCGGGUAGAAGACUUCAGAGCUAGCUUCCGAUACAGAUUUAGUCUGGAUGGUGACUGCGUGUGAGCUGAAGGAAUACUUACCACAAGGUGGAACGUAUUGAACAGCGGGAUAGCAGGGGAGAUAUUGCUGGUUGUAUGUCUAAUUUCCGUGUGUGAUUUAGCGCACAGGCUGUACACCGGAGAGAAAGUGAGUUUGUAUUUGAAAUGUCAUGAACAUGGUUAAUUGUCAAAUGUUUUAAUUAACCAAUGUACUAAUGUGUGGCUCAACCAUUGUAUUUUUGUUUAUUUUCUUUCAUUAUUCAGAAGAGCCACUACUGUUGCUUAUACUGUUGCCUAUUUUUUA